This 29-nucleotide non-coding RNA is filed under the name Rattus norvegicus (Norway rat). Lineage: Eukaryota; Metazoa; Chordata; Mammalia; Rodentia; Muridae. The record is from RNAcentral.
UUCAUCUGAUGCUCCUGCUCAGUGAGGGU